Molecule: unclassified non-coding RNA, 4590 nt
Filed under: Pomacea canaliculata
Lineage: Eukaryota; Metazoa; Mollusca; Gastropoda; Architaenioglossa; Ampullariidae
Description: uncharacterized LOC112556232, transcript variant X23
Source: RNAcentral
ACAUGUUUUUCUACUUUUUACACAUCCAAUUAAUUAAAAGUAAAAAUAGCUCCAUCAAAAUUUAUUUCUGGCUAAAGAUAGCAGCUACCGUUACCUUGUCACUCUGAACAAUUAAAACUGGAUUAAAGACUGAAAAAAGAAAACAUACAAAGAAAAGAACUUGGUAAGCACUAUCAAACUCUUAUUCCAAAAAAAAAUUUAAAAAAAUCAUCAAUUAAAUAACAAAACUUAAAAUAAAUUACUGGGGGUGCAGCUGGGGCAGUAAGUUUUAAACAACACUGGAAAAAAGAGAAUGAAUUAAGAAUAACAAAGUUAUUGCUAAUUAACAGGAAAUAACUCCUCUAUAAUACUAACAGAAGUAUCUACCACUUUUUUUUAAAACUCUCUUUUCAAAAAACACUAGAUGACAAGAAUUUUUGAAUAAAAGACCAAUUUAAGUUGACGUUUUCCACAUACAAAUUUUUUUUAAUGAAGCAAUAAUUAAGGCAGAGUAUUGUCCCCUACUUAACUUACCAGUCAUAAUGUCUUUGCCUCCCCGUUUCCAUAUCUUAGUGCUUUCAAAGAAAAUUACAAAGUGCUAAACUAAAAAUAUCACAAGUAGCUGUUAACCCUUUUGAAAAGAAAUAGCACAGCCUUAGUAGUAAAUCUCUUUUCUUCAAAGUGAGCAUUGCUCCAUGACAAAUGAUAUCUCCCUCUGUGUUCUGCACAUGCGAACAAUUUCCUGAAUUUUAAGCCACACCUCUUUCAGUAAGAGAGAUGCCAUGAUGGGCACUGGUAGAGGAUAGCUUUGUUUCUCAAACACACAUUGCAAGGAACAAUUUACUGAUUCUUUUCACAGCUACAAUCAGCAUUUCAGGAUUUCAAAAAAGGAACGAAUAUCAAGGAAGGAUUAACACGUUGUCUUCAUAUCUGACAGCAAAAAAAAAAAAAAAAAAAGGCAUCGCAUGUGAGAAAACACAAAAGUUUUACUCAAGGCAUGGCAUGGAAGGCCCAGAAAGAAUUCUUAAUUAUUCGCACGAGAAAAAAGCAUCAUAAGAAUGCUGAAUUAAUAUUUGCACUGAGUUAGUAAAUUUUAAUUUAGUGUAGUCAGUUUUAAGAACAUUCCAGACAGAGUUUUAAAAUUCAAAGAAAAGUUUUACAAUGCUGAUUGAAAUUAUUUUGAUAUGCAGAUCCAAAGAGAAGACAUUAUACUGGUGGAGGGAGGGGUUAAAGAAAAUUUAAAUGGUCAUUGCAUGGCCUAGCCUCUAAGAAACCAAAAUCUAUUUUUCUUUCUAAUAUAACUAAAAAGGAAAGGAAAAAAUUGACAACUUAAAUUAUAAGCUAUAUUAUGUCAGUGUUUUAUGAGAUUAUGUUUCUUAAUCCUUUUAUCUUUUUUGCUAUAUUUGUGAUAAAAAUGACAAUAGUAUAAAUCAUAACUAACAAUUCACAAAAACAUGAAUAAUAAGCAUGGAUAAGAUUAUCUUGCCAACUGGAUCUCUCUUUACUCAACCACCUAUUUAUUUCAACAUAAAAUACAAGACAUAAGUUACAUAAAAGAUAUGCCUCCAAUUUAUUUUUGUAAAAUUUUAAAACUAAGCCUUCUCUCGCUCCAGCCACUGAAAUAUUUAGGGACUCAAAUAUUUGGUGUUCAGGUUAUACGUUGUGUUAUGGAAGAAGAGUUAUUUUUAUCUGCAACCAGUCUCAGAGGAGACAUGUGAAUGUAUGACACAACCCACUUUAAAAUGCAUCACAACAUAACAUGCAAAGGAAUUAAAGCUCAUUAGAGGUUGUGAAUCUUUAAUUACUGAUAAAACAUUGAAGCAUCAUUGAUACAAUUUAAUGUUUAGCAAAAACCAAUAAUAAAGCUUCAUGCCUACUUUGAUAAUAGCAUAGGUCAGAUUAGAAUAGUUGGCCAGCAUGACCUUCAAGUCUUUUAGUGUCACUAGGUGAUAGAAAUAACAGUUAACCUAGGGAGUGUUUUAGUUAGCUGGUGCUAGAGGAAAAUGAAGUUUAGGUUAGAAAAGGAAACAUCAGCAUUGAGAAACCUCCUAUGCACACUGAUGGCUGUGAGAAACAGGAUCAUGAUACCAGGUGCAGUUGGGAUUCAGCUACUGUUAUGUAGAUGAGGUCACGGUGGAUGAUGCGGUUGCUGUGCAGGAAGUCCACACCAUUAACCAGCUGUAGCAUCAGGUCCUGCAAUAGAAGAUUGUACUAAGAAGUUUAAAUGGGCAAAGCUGUGGCUGAUGGUGCCUACUAUUAUAAGAAAGUAUUGGUGUACACACCCGAAUUCGAUCUGGGCCAAGGCCUGGGGACGGACAUUUCUGGAGGACCUUCACUAUUUCUCCACAAUGCGGGACUGAAAAGGUGUCUACCAUACUGGCAGUCCAGAAGAUCUACAAAUAUGUGGUAUCCACACUGAGAUGCCAAGCCAGUGCUUUUGAUAUUGAUUCUGAUUCCUCAGCUCUUCACCUUACACACACCAACAUCCAUGGGAUAGCAUCUGGAAACCUGUUCAUGAUUUACUUUUUAAGUCAAAGUCAGAAUAGCAGUGGUAAGUGAUAUACAAAUCAAUGUGUUCUUCAAUACGAAGUAGUUGACACAUUUCUCUGAGUAAUAUUUGACAUCACUGAUAAGAGCCUCCAUCAGAAAAAUCAACCAAUGAGAGAGCCAAGAGGACAAUCACCUGCUGGAGCUGCUAUGAUUAGACAAGCAAGAGCGCUUUUCAUUGCCCUUUUUUGGGGGGAAAUUCAAGCAUCACAAGGACUGUCAGCUCAUGCACUAUCUCCUUAAGGUUCAAGGCCUUCCAAGAUCAUGUCAACCAUAAUUGUAAACAUAAAGCACACAGCCUGCAGAUGCACCAAAUGUGAUGUAUUUUCUGCUGUACUUUUCAAUAGACCAUACCAGUUCUACAUUCAUCUCCUUCCACAGCCCGUCUUCCGUAAACCAUGUUGAUGGUGCUAUCUACCAUCAGGGCCUUUGUACAAGUGCUGUCAGUAAUAGCCACAGUCCCUUUGGUGAACAGGUUAAAGUUUACUAUCAAUACCCUCUUGUUAUGGUCAUAAAUCACUCAAAUAUAGUUGAAUAUAGUAUUAGUGAUUGUAGUAGCCACAAUUUCACACACCCACCACUAUUUUUUGAUAAAUUACACACUUAUUCAUUCAGUCCUUCUUGUACAUUCAAAAGAUAAUGGUCUUAUUUGUUAUCUUGCCAUUAUCUCACCAACCCCUCCUCUCGCCACGCUUUGUGACAGAAUGGAUGUCCAAAACUCUAAACGUUACCCCACCUAUGGACUCUAUACCCUUUUUACAUUUUCACACUUAACACUUGCGUUGAAUGCAAGAUAAUAAAUUUGGACUGUACUUACAUGUCUCAUAAACUAUAUAUAUAUAGAGAGAGAGAAUGUACCUCAACUGUCUGACCUGCAACUAAUGUUUAUAUUUUCGCUUUACGAUGUCUCAGCAGAUUUCAAUUUUAAUUUGAUCGAAUUAAAUUUUUUUGUAUCAACAGUGAAAAUUAAGCAUCAUUCAAAACAGCUCUUUAUCUACUGCACCUAAGACUACAGAAGCACCUGAACGUUUUUUUGUUAUUUUUUAGAUGGUCCUGAAAGGCCUCUAUAAAGUCUAAUUAGGAAUUUAAAUAACAAUACGAGUCUAGUCAAAACAUAUUUGCAAUGAAAAUAUAAUACAGCUAAGAAUUGUAUUUCCGGUUUCUAUGCUCUACUGGGGGUUAGGAACAAGGAGGAGAAGAACUGUAUUUGUAACAUGUACAAAAAGAAAUUACACAUUUUAAAACAAAAUUCUCUGGUUGUUUUGCAAAGAAAAAAACCCUUGCUAUUUCUUCACACACUCUGAAUUUUAAAAGAAUUUGUUCCAACAGUACAUUUAUUGCAUAUGUUCAAAUGAAGGCAUUAUAAAUCACAUAUCUGUAUGCAUGUAGACACUGACUACAGGACAAUUUUAUGAAAAUAGACACAAUAAAAAAUUUUACAAAAUAAAAUUAAAGGAUUUCCUACCAUUUAAAAAAAAAGUUGAUGGACAGACCAAAGAAACGUAAAAAACUUGGGUCCUGCCGUGGCUGUACCUCUAAAUGGUGAUUCAAAUAAACUAAAAGCAAAUUAGAAAACUGAUAAUCGCUAAAUAAAGUGCUUACACAUAUAAUUUUUAAAUUACCCCUCCCCCAAAAUCAUAAAAUAUAAGAGAUCUGUAAUAGUGUGAUCCAUAUUUUAUAAAUAUUGUAUAAAUAUAUCAAAUUUACAUACUGAUUUAGAUUUAUCAGAUGUUUGGUAAUAGUGCCUGUGAUACCUGAUUUAUAUUGUAAAGAGGGAAAAUCAAUAAAAUAUAGUGCAAUGCUAUUAAAACACAAUGCUAUUUUUGUACAGCUUUCUAAGGUUUGUGAGGCAGCUAUUAUCAUCCAUAAGAAAAAGUGCGAUAAUAACUGAAAAUUAACAUCGUCCGUGUAGCAUUAUGUCUUUACGACUCUGACGCUCAAUUAAACACUGCAAUAUAUUUGAAAAUAUUGCUGUUUACUGAGUGUUGCGCUGGGCCGAUGCUUUCAAGGGGACAAAGAAUUAAAAGAAAAAAAAAAUUGGAAAUCGCACAAAGCUGCUAUGAU